UCCUGGCUCAGAACGAACGCUGGCGGCAUGGAUUAGGCAUGCAAGUCGAACGGUGUAGCAAUACACAGUGGCGGAAGGGUGAGGAACACGUGAAUAAUCUGCCCUCAAGUUGGGAAUAACUUUCCGAAAGGAAAGCUAAUACCGAAUGUGGUUGUUUUAUCGCAUGAUGGGACAACUAAAGAUUUAUCGCUUGAGGAUGAGUUCGCGUCCCAUUAGCUAGUUGGCGGGUAACGGCCCACCAAGGCAGAGAUGGGUAGCUGGUCUGAGAGGAUGAUCAGCCACACUGGGACUGAGACACUGCCCAGACUCCUACGGGAGGCUGCAGUCGAGAAUCUUUUGCAAUGCGCGAAAGCGUGACAAAGCAAUGCCGCGUGCCGGAUGAAGGUCUUCGGAUUGUAAACGGCUGUCACUCGGGACGAAAAAUGACGGUACCGAGGGAGGAAGCCACGGCUAACUACGUGCCAGCCGCCGC
RNAcentral lists this ribosomal RNA (472 nucleotides) under uncultured bacterium. Its description in RNAcentral is "bacterial SSU rRNA". It matches the Rfam family "Bacterial small subunit ribosomal RNA", at positions 17 to 518 of the family's 1533-position model. The record is from RNAcentral.